GGAUGUAGGGGUAAUCUGGGCUGUGACACCUGUCACCCCAUUGACAGGGUUGAUUCAGCUGAUCUGGCUGGCUAGGGGGGUGUUCGCUUCUUCCCCCAAUGCUCCAUGUGCAUCCCUCCCAAAGCUGUGAGGCUCAGUCAAAGAGGACGAUCUUCCCUGAUAGAGGAGGACCAGCGGUCAAGGGUAUAAGAAUGGCUGCCCUCCCCUCUUAGAACCUCUAAACAAGCUCUCAAGAAACACUGCUGUGGGAGAGGAGAAAGAUGGCUGUGGAAUGUGGUGAAUGCUGGGUAGCCAGCUUC
RNAcentral lists this small nuclear RNA (299 nucleotides) under Nannospalax galili (Upper Galilee mountains blind mole rat). Its description in RNAcentral is "7SK RNA (ENSNGAG00000002866.1)". It matches the Rfam family "7SK RNA". Rfam says of the family: 7SK was discovered as an abundant small nuclear RNA in the mid-70s but a possible function has only recently been suggested. Two independent studies have found that 7SK RNA binds the CDK9/cyclin T complex (known as elongation factor P-TEFb). The record is from RNAcentral. Lineage: Eukaryota; Metazoa; Chordata; Mammalia; Rodentia; Spalacidae.